RNAcentral lists this long non-coding RNA (351 nucleotides) under Callithrix jacchus (white-tufted-ear marmoset). Its description in RNAcentral is "lncRNA (ENSCJAG00000070601.1)". Lineage: Eukaryota; Metazoa; Chordata; Mammalia; Primates; Cebidae. The record is from RNAcentral.
GGUGGAAGGUGGAGGUGAGAGGAUCACUUGAGCCUAGGAGUUCAAGACCAGCCUGGAUAAAAAGACAAGACCCCAUCUCUACAAAAAUAAAAAAAAAUUAGCCAAGCAUGGUGGUGUAGCUUAUAGUCCCAGUUCUUGGGAGGCUGAGGCAGGAGGAUUGCUUAAGCCCAGGAGUUCAACGCUGCAGUGAGCCAUGAUUGCACCACUGCACUUCAGGCUGGGCAACAGAGGGAGACUUUGUCUCAAACAAACAAAAAAACAAACAAAAAAAAAAAAAAAAAAAAAGAUCGUGUAAGUGAAAGAAAGACUCUUAAACCCAAUCCAUCUCUUUCUUCAUUUAACCGAGAUUGU